Molecule: ribosomal RNA, 307 nt
Filed under: Mesalina guttulata
Lineage: Eukaryota; Metazoa; Chordata; Lepidosauria; Squamata; Lacertidae
Description: partial 12S ribosomal RNA
Rfam family: Bacterial small subunit ribosomal RNA
Source: RNAcentral
CCGCCAGAGAAUUACGAGCAACAAGCUUAAAACUCAAAGGACUUGACGGUGUCCCACAUCGACCUAGAGGAGCCUGUCCUAUAAUCGAUACCCCCCGUUCCACCCAACCCCUACUAGCACUAAUCAGCCUAUAUACCGCCGUCGACAGUCUACCCCAUGAGGGAUCAAUAGUAGACACAACAGUUAACAACUAAUACGUCAGGUCAAGGUGUAGCAAAUGUAGGGGAAGAGAUUGGCUACAUUUUUUAUUAUAAAAACACGAAAUGCAUUAUGAAACCCUGCAUGAAGGCGAAUUUAGCAGUAAAAU